UACACGCUGUGACUAGCAUAUCAAUAAGCGGAGGAAAAGAAACUAACAAGGAUUCCCUUAGUAACGGCGAGUGAAGCGGGAAGAGCUCAAAUUUGAAAUCUUGAAAGGUCACCUUUCACGAAUUGUAGUUUAAAGAAGUGUUUUCUGUUACGAUCGUAAUAUAAGUUCUUUGGAAUAGGACAUCACAGAGGGUGAGAAUCCCGUCUAUGAUUGCGAUUUGUAGCUUUGUGAUACACUUUCAAAGAGUCGGGUUGUUUGGGAAUGCAGCCCAAAACGGGAGGUAAAUUUCUUCUAAGGCUAAAUAUUGGCGAGAGACCGAUAGCGAACAAGUACCGUGAGGGGAAGAUGAAAAGAACUUUGAAAAGAGAGUUAAAUAGUACGUGAAAUUGUCAAAAGGGAAGCGUUUAACACCAGUGUUGUUUUCUGAAAAUCAACCUCUGUUAGCUUUAUGCAUGUUUGUUUAGACCUAAUCAGCUAUCUUUCAUGUUCUAUUGUUUGCAGUGGUGCACUUUUCAGUUUACAGGUCAACAUCAGUUUUUUUUACCGUAAAAAAGUUAAAGAAAGGUAGCUCAUGGCUCCGGUCGUGAGUGUUAUAGUCUUUUUCCUAUGCGGUAGGAGAGACUGAGGUCUGCAGUGUAGGCUAUUUGGCUAGAUACUCAGGUGCUAUGUGAUACCAUUUCAUAAACAACUUGUUGAUUAUGUUUUGUCUAUUGCAUACUCGCUUGUACUAUCAUACCUACGCUUAGGAUGUUGAGUAGCGACAUACGCAC
This 770-nucleotide ribosomal RNA is filed under the name uncultured Neocallimastigales. Its description in RNAcentral is "partial large subunit ribosomal RNA". The stretch from base 3 to 660 matches the Rfam family "Eukaryotic large subunit ribosomal RNA", at positions 24 to 664 of the family's 3401-position model. The record is from RNAcentral. Lineage: Eukaryota; Fungi; Neocallimastigomycota; Neocallimastigomycetes; Neocallimastigales.